Molecule: ribosomal RNA, 253 nt
Filed under: uncultured bacterium
Lineage: Bacteria
Description: partial 16S ribosomal RNA
Rfam family: Bacterial small subunit ribosomal RNA
Source: RNAcentral
UACGUAGGUGGCGAGCGUUGUCCGGAUUUACUGGGCGUAAAGAGCGCGCAGGCGGUCGUCCAAGUCGCGUGUGAAAGCCCCCGGCUCAACUGGGGAGGGUCACGCGAUACUGAUCGACUCGAAGGCAGGAGAGGGUAGUGGAAUUCCCGGUGUAGUGGUGAAAUGCGUAGAUAUCGGGAGGAACACCAGUGGCGAAGGCGACUACCUGGCCUGUUCUUGACGCUGAGGCGCGAAAGCUAGGGGAGCAAACGGG